CCUACGGGGGGCAGCAGUGGGGAAUAUUGGACAAUGGGGGGAACCCUGAUCCAGCCAUGCCGCGUGUGUGAAGAAGGCCCUCGGGUUGUAAAGCACUUUCAGUGAGGAAGAACGCCUGGUGGUUAAUACCCAUCAGGAAAGACAUCACUCACAGAAGAAGCACCGGCUAACUCCGUGCCAGCAGCCGCGGUAAUACGGAGGGUGCGAGCGUUAAUCGGAAUUACUGGGCGUAAAGCGCGCGUAGGUGGCUUGAUAAGCCGGUUGUGAAAGCCCCGGGCUCAACCUGGGAACGGCAUCCGGAACUGUCAAGCUAGAGUGCAGGAGAGGAAGGUAGAAGUCCCGGUGUAGCGGUGAAAUGCGUAGAGAUCGGGAGGAAUACCAGUGGCGAAGGCGGCCUUCUGGACUGACACUGACACUGAGGUGCGAAAGCGUGGGUAGCAAACAGGAUUAGAUACCCCUGUAGUC
Molecule: ribosomal RNA, 465 nt
Filed under: Vreelandella stevensii
Lineage: Bacteria; Pseudomonadati; Pseudomonadota; Gammaproteobacteria; Oceanospirillales; Halomonadaceae
Description: partial 16S ribosomal RNA
Rfam family: Bacterial small subunit ribosomal RNA
Source: RNAcentral